GGAGUUAGCCGGUGCUUCUUCUGUGAGUGAUGUCCUUCCUGCCGGUUAUUGACCCGCAGGCCUUCUUCCUCACUGAAAGUGCUUUACAACCCGAAGGCCUUCUUCACACACGCGGCAUGGCUGGAUCAGGGUUGCCCCCAUUGUCCAAUAUUCCCCACUGCUGCCUCCCGUAGGAGUCUGGGCCGUGUCUCAGUCCCAGUGUGGCUGAUCAUCCUCUCAGACCAGCUACGGAUCGUCGCCUUGGUGAGCCGUUACCUCACCAACCAGCUAAUCCGACAUAGGCUCAUCCGAUAGCGCGAGGCCCGAAGGUCCCCCGCUUUCCCCCGUAGGGCGUAUGCGGUAUUAGCCUGGGUUUCCCCAGGUUAUCCCCCACUACCGGGCAGAUUCCUAUGCAUUACUCACCCGUCCGCCGCUCGCCACCAGGGAGCAAGCUCCCCGUGCUGCCGCUCGACUUGCAUGUGUUAGGCCUGCCGCCACGCGUCAUCUGAGCANGAUACAACUACUGA
Molecule: ribosomal RNA, 506 nt
Filed under: uncultured bacterium
Lineage: Bacteria
Description: partial 16S ribosomal RNA
Source: RNAcentral